Molecule: long non-coding RNA, 626 nt
Filed under: Saimiri boliviensis boliviensis (Bolivian squirrel monkey)
Lineage: Eukaryota; Metazoa; Chordata; Mammalia; Primates; Cebidae
Description: lncRNA (ENSSBOG00000036529.1)
Source: RNAcentral
AGCGAAGCAUGGAGAAGCUGUGAGACCCUGCUGAAAGGAAUUUGUAGGCACGUAGGUGGUCAACCAGAAGACAAGUGAGCCGUGUCCAUAACUACCCAGACAACCUGCAGCUGUGUGAGAAGGGAAGGCUUUUUGUUCUAUGCCAGUGAGAUUUUGUUGUCAUGCGGCAUUAUUGUAGCAGUAGCUAACAGUAAGUUAUUGUGAUUUUUUGGCUCCUGACGGUUUUCCAUUGCUUUGAAAUGCAGCUGGACAUACUGCUGCUGGGUUCUGUGGCAUACAAAGGAUCCUAAUUAAAAACAAAACAAAACAAAUGUUUCAAUUUCAGCUAGUUUAAGCAGUUUGCCCUUCCUUGCAACGAAAAGAUUUCCCACCUAUCAGCUACGCAGCUGCAGUCAUUCGGGUAAAGUUGGUGGGCACGCUGAAAUUGCUGGGCCAUCCUUCCGACUGUCUUCUGCUGUGGAGACCAUUUGUGAGUUGCCAGUGAUCCCUGUAAGGAAUUGCGGACAAUCAAGCUGUGGGCUGCUGGCCAUGGACCACAUGCUGGGUAGACGAGAAGAAGGCACAUGGUGGAUGUUUUACAGACAUGUAAGUAGGAAUUUGCAAAUUGAACCAGCAAGUGCCUGGUA